GAUGAACGCUGGCGGCGUGCCUAAUACAUGCAAGUCGAGCGAACAGACGAUGCUCUUGCUCCUCUCUCGUUUGCGGCGCACGGGUGAGUCACACGUGUAUCACCUACCUAUAAUACUGGUAUAACCUCGAGAAACCGGCUCUAAUCCCGGAUGAUCUCUUGCACCGCAGUGUUCAAUAGUAAAAGACGGUGUUUCUGUCACUUAUAGCUGGUUCCGCGCCGCAUUGGCUAGUUGGGAGGGUAACGGCUUACCAAGGGGACGAUGCGUAGCCGACGUGAUAGGGUGAUAGCCCACAUGGGAAGUGGACCACGGACAAGACUCCUACGAGAGGCAGCAGAAGGGAAUGGGCGGCAGUGGGCGAAAGCCUGACGGAGCAAGGCGGAGUGAGUGAUGAAGGUGUCGGGAUCGUAAAAACCUGUUACGAGGGAAGAACAAAUUUGGAAGUAAAUAUGCACGGAUUGACGGUACUUGAUAAGAAAGCAACGGCUAACUACGUG
RNAcentral lists this ribosomal RNA (497 nucleotides) under uncultured bacterium. RNAcentral's name for it is "partial 16S ribosomal RNA". It matches the Rfam family "Bacterial small subunit ribosomal RNA", at positions 28 to 507 of the family's 1533-position model. The record is from RNAcentral.